Molecule: ribosomal RNA, 467 nt
Filed under: Electra posidoniae
Lineage: Eukaryota; Metazoa; Bryozoa; Gymnolaemata; Cheilostomatida; Electridae
Description: partial 16S ribosomal RNA
Rfam family: Archaeal large subunit ribosomal RNA
Source: RNAcentral
CAUAGCCUUUUGUUUUUCUAAAAGGUAAGGCCUGCCCGGUGUAUUUUUAUAAACGGCUUUUACAAUUAAAGUAGCGUAAUAAUUUGUUCCUUUAUUGGGGACUUGUAUGAAAGGCAAAACGGAAAUAAGCUGUUUCUGAUGAAUAAAAAAAAAUUUGUGUUUAAGUGAAAAAGCUUAAAUAAGCAAAAAGGACGAGAAGACCCUAUAGAAUUUAAUAGCAUAAGAGUUUUUAAACUCCAUCUAUUUUGUUGGGGCAACAACGGAGCUUCCUAAACUCCGAAAUUUCAAUUUGAUAAUCUCAAACAAAAAAAAUCCGAAAAUAGAACUAAGAAAAAUUACCUUAGGGAUAACAGCGUAAUAUCCCCCAGAAAGACCUAAUUGAAGGGGGAGUUUGCGACCUCGAUGUUGGACUAAGAUACCUUUUAAGUGCAGCAGUUUAAAAUAGUUAGCCUGUCCGGCUUUUAAAU